This is a non-coding RNA of Picea glauca (white spruce), 121 nucleotides long. The record is from Rfam. Lineage: Eukaryota; Viridiplantae; Streptophyta; Pinopsida; Pinales; Pinaceae.
ACAUGCCUAUAACAUAGCCUUAAUGCAUCAAAUUCCAUUAUAACUCCAUAUUUUAGAGUGCUCUGGCUAGAGUAGUACUGGGAUGGGUGACCACCCGAGAAAUCCUAGUGUUUCACAUGCC